Long non-coding RNA from Rhipicephalus microplus (southern cattle tick), 230 nucleotides. Lineage: Eukaryota; Metazoa; Arthropoda; Arachnida; Ixodida; Ixodidae. The record is from RefSeq and is a predicted model, not a curated record.
AUAUUCCAGGGGGCGUUCAUGCGCUAGGUCAGGUACACGCAAGCUGUUGGGAACAGGCACGGAUCCACGGCAGGGGCGGCUUCGCGAUUUCCUCCCAAGGGCGGAAAGUCGUCCGGAGGGCCAACCACCGACGCAUCGGCCUCUAAAAUGGCGAACUGUGGAGCGACAAUACAGACGUAUUCUGCUGAUCGCUGCUGCUCUGGGGCUUUGACGGAGCAUCUUCACCUUGA